UGGGGAAUUUUGGACAAUGGGCGCAAGCCUGAUCCAGCCAUGCCGCGUGAGUGAAGAAGGCCUUCGGGUUGUAAAGCUCUUUCGGUUGGGAAGAAAUUGCUUCGGAUAAUACCCGGAGUAGAUGACGGUACCAGCAUAAGAAGCACCGGCUAACUACGUGCCAGCAGCCGCGGUAAUACGUAGGGUGCGAGCGUUAAUCGGAAUUACUGGGCGUAAAGCGUGCGCAGGCGGUUGUGUAAGUCAGAUGUGAAAUCCCCGGGCUCAACCUGGGAACUGCAUUUGAGACUGCACGGCUAGAGUGUGGCAGAGGGGGGUAGAAUUCCACGUGUAGCAGUGAAAUGCGUAGAGAUGUGGAGGAAUACCGAUGGCGAAGGCAGCCCCCUGGGCCAAUACUGACGCUCAUGCACGAAAGCGUGGGGAGCAAACA
This 427-nucleotide ribosomal RNA is filed under the name uncultured prokaryote. RNAcentral's name for it is "bacterial SSU rRNA". It matches the Rfam family "Bacterial small subunit ribosomal RNA", at positions 355 to 774 of the family's 1533-position model. The record is from RNAcentral.